RNAcentral lists this microRNA (24 nucleotides) under Caenorhabditis brenneri. RNAcentral's name for it is "cbn-miR-7632". Lineage: Eukaryota; Metazoa; Nematoda; Chromadorea; Rhabditida; Rhabditidae. The record is from miRBase by way of RNAcentral.
UUGAUAUUGUCCGGGUAUCGGUCU